RNAcentral lists this ribosomal RNA (557 nucleotides) under uncultured bacterium. RNAcentral describes it as "bacterial SSU rRNA". It matches the Rfam family "Bacterial small subunit ribosomal RNA", at positions 102 to 694 of the family's 1533-position model. The record is from RNAcentral.
ACGGGUGAGUAACACGUGGGAACGUACCCUUUGGUUCGGAAUAACGCUGGGAAACUAGCGCUAAUACCGGAUACGCCCUUUUGGGGAAAGGCUUGCUGCCGAAGGAUCGGCCCGCGUCUGAUUAGCUAGUUGGUGGGGUAAUGGCCUACCAAGGCGACGAUCAGUGGCUGGUCUGAGAGGAUGAUCAGCCACACUGGGACUGAGACACGGCCCAGACUCCUACGGGAGGCAGCAGUGGGGAAUAUUGGACAAUGGGCGCAAGCCUGAUCCAGCCAUGCCGCGUGAGUGAUGAAGGCCUUAGGGUUGUAAAGCUCUUUUGUCCGGGACGAUAAUGACGGUACCGGAAGAAUAAGCCCCGGCUAACUUCGUGCCAGCAGCCGCGGUAAUACGAAGGGGGCUAGCGUUGCUCGGAAUCACUGGGCGUAAAGGGCGCGUAGGCGGCCAUUCAAGUCGGGGGUGAAAGCCUGUGGCUCAACCACAGAAUUGCCUUCGAUACUGUUUGGCUUGAGUUUGGUAGAGGUUGGUGGAACUGCGAGUGUAGAGGUGAAAUUCGUAGA